GACGAACCGUGCGAACGUUGUUCGGAAUCACUGGGCUUAAAGGGCGCGUAGGCGGGCUGUCACGUCUGGGGUGAAAUGCCGCGGCUCAACCGUGGAACUGCCUUAGAUACUGACGGCCUCGAGGGAGGUAGGGGCGUGCGGAACUGUAGGUGGAGCGGUGAAAUGCGUUGAUAUCUGAAGGAACAUCAGUGGCGAAAGCGACUUCCUGGACGAAUACUGACGCUCAUGUGCGAAAGCGUGGGGAGCAAACAGG
This 253-nucleotide ribosomal RNA is filed under the name uncultured bacterium. RNAcentral's name for it is "partial 16S ribosomal RNA". It matches the Rfam family "Bacterial small subunit ribosomal RNA", at positions 524 to 776 of the family's 1533-position model. The record is from RNAcentral.